This 406-nucleotide ribosomal RNA is filed under the name uncultured bacterium. RNAcentral's name for it is "partial 16S ribosomal RNA". It matches the Rfam family "Bacterial small subunit ribosomal RNA", at positions 30 to 526 of the family's 1533-position model. The record is from RNAcentral.
AUUGAACGCUGGCGGCAGGCCUAACACAUGCAAGUCGAACGCGUGUCGGACGGGUGAGUAAUGUCUAGGAAACUGCCCGCUGGAGGGGGAGAACUACAGGAAACGGUAGCUCAUACCGCAUACCAUCGGAUGUGCCCAGAUGGGAUUAGCUAGUAGGUGGGGUAACGGCUCACCAAGGCGACGAUACCUAGCUGGUCUGAGAGGAGGACCAGCCACACUGGAACUGAGACACGGGCCAGACUCCUACGGGAGGCAGCAGUGGGGAAUAUUGCACAAUGGGCGCAAGCCUGAUGCAGCCAUGCCGCGUGUAUGAAGAAGGCCUUCGGGUUGUAAAGUACUUUCAGCGAGGAGGCGUUACUCGCAGAAGAAGCACCGGCUAACUCCGUGCCAGCAGCCGCGGUAAUAC